UACGUAGGGUGCAAGCGUUGUCCGGAAUUAUUGGGCGUAAAGAGCUCGUAGGCGGUCUGUCGCGUCUGCCGUGAAAACUCGGGGCUUAACCCCGGGCCUGCAGUGGGUACGGGCAGACUAGAGUGCGGUAGGGGAGACUGGAAUUCCUGGUGUAGCGGUGAAAUGCGCAGAUAUCAGGAGGAACACCGGUGGCGAAGGCGGGUCUCUGGGCCGUAACUGACGCUGAGGAGCGAAAGCGUGGGGAGCGAACAGG
This 253-nucleotide ribosomal RNA is filed under the name uncultured bacterium. RNAcentral's name for it is "partial 16S ribosomal RNA". It matches the Rfam family "Bacterial small subunit ribosomal RNA", at positions 524 to 776 of the family's 1533-position model. The record is from RNAcentral.